CCUACGGGUGGCUGCAGUGGGGGGUAUUGCACAAUGGGCGGAAGCCUGAUGCAGCGACGUCGCGUGAGGGAUGGAGGCCUUCGGGUUGUGAACCUCUUUCGCCGGUGAAGAAGGUCCUGCUCUUUGUGGUGGGGUUGACGGUAGCCGGGUUAUGAAGCGCCGGCUAACUACGUGCCAGCAGCCGCGGUAAUACGUAGGGCGCGGGCGUUGUCCGGAAUUAUUGGGCGUAAAGGGCUUGUAGGCGGCUGGUCGCGUCUGCCGUGAAAUCCUCUGGCUCAGCUGGGGGCGUGCGGUGGGUACGGGCUGGCUUGAGUGCGGUAGGGGAGGCUGGAACUCCUGGUGUAGCGGUGGAAUGCGCAGAUAUCAGGAGGAACACCGGUGGCGAAGGCGGGUCUCUGGGCCGUUACUGACGCUGAGGAGCGAAAGCGUGGGGAGCGAACAGGAUUAGAUACCCUUGUAGUC
Molecule: ribosomal RNA, 462 nt
Filed under: uncultured Actinomyces sp.
Lineage: Bacteria; Bacillati; Actinomycetota; Actinomycetes; Actinomycetales; Actinomycetaceae
Description: bacterial SSU rRNA
Rfam family: Bacterial small subunit ribosomal RNA
Source: RNAcentral